CUGGUCUUGACAUCCACAGAAUUUUUUAGAAAUAAAAAAGUGCCUUCGGGAACUGUGAGACAGGUGCUGCAUGGCUGUCGUCAGCUCGUGUUGUGAAAUGUUGGGUUAAGUCCCGCAACGAGCGCAACCCUUAUCCCCUUACGAGUAGGGCUACACACGUGCUACAAUGGCGUAUACAAAGGGAUGCGAACCUGCGAGGGAAAGCGGAACUCAGAAAGUACGUCGUAGUCCGGAUUGGAGUCUGCAACUCGACUCCAUGAAGUCGGAAUCGCUAGUAAUCGUAGAUCAGAAUGCUACGGUGAAUACGUUCCC
RNAcentral lists this ribosomal RNA (312 nucleotides) under symbiont of Sitobion avenae. RNAcentral describes it as "bacterial SSU rRNA". It matches the Rfam family "Bacterial small subunit ribosomal RNA", at positions 975 to 1375 of the family's 1533-position model. The record is from RNAcentral. Lineage: Bacteria; Pseudomonadati; Pseudomonadota; Gammaproteobacteria; Enterobacterales; Enterobacteriaceae.